This 1182-nucleotide long non-coding RNA is filed under the name Gallus gallus (chicken). RNAcentral describes it as "lncRNA (ENSGALG00010024275.1)". The record is from RNAcentral. Lineage: Eukaryota; Metazoa; Chordata; Aves; Galliformes; Phasianidae.
GAGUGUGAGCAGCACGAGCCCAUCAUGUUGAGCAGUGGGAUUUACAGGGGGUUGCGUCAGCACCAGGGCUUGCAGCAUCAUUUCCCACAUGGCAUAGGCAGGAGCUGGGCCCCCGUGGAGCACAGGGAGCUGCUCCCCAGGGAUGGCUUCAUUGUGUGCCCUCCAGCGGGGAGCCACGGGAGGGAAGGAGUGCAGGAAGCCAGACCGUGUCACUGUAAAUCCUGUCACGCCUAACGAUGUUUUCUCAAGCAUGUUUUCCUGACUUCCCUCCCGAGAGAUUAAACCUGAAAGAUGACUAUGCUUAUCUGUGGGUAGCCCAGAAACAAAAUGUUUCCCAAGAAAUAACCACAACAUUGCAGUCUGACCAUGCUCAUUAUUAUAAAAGAACGUUUUAUUUCACUUUUUCCUGGGUGCACUAUAUUGCAACGUAACACUAGGCAGGUCUAUCGACAAAUUAAGAUCCUUGCUGCAGGAUUAAGAUUGUCUUCUUAUUUUUGAGGCACUGUCACCUCUGCUUCUGCUACCAAGGAAGACUUGUAUUAUUUUUAAGCAAUAAUGUUAAAUGACUUUCUUAUAUUCUGGCAAUUGUAUUAGUUAUUAGGCACCUGAUUAGUGUAAUUAAUUAUAUGAACUCAUACAAACCAUGCCUGAAGCAUCAUCCACAAGAAGUCCAUCCAUUCCAAGCCAAAUACUAUAGUUCACAGAAAAGUCUUCUAGUAUGCAAUUGCACAUGAAUAUACAUAUGAGCAGUACACGAAUCACUGAGUAAAUAUGGCACUUUUAUAUGUUUUCCAGGAGGUCAUACAGAAUUAGGAAACAAUCUUCUCUGAGCUGACGCACUUCUAAAAUACAAUACAGUUUUGGAAAAUACACCCCACAGACUAGAUAGGAAGUAUAGAAAAGUCAGCAGUGCAGCUACCUGAGUUUGUUUCAUUCAGUUUAACAGUGAUCUGAUAUUUUUUUCAUUCACAAGCCUGAGGGCUGUCCAACCAUGAAAGCCAUGCCACCUGACUCUGCUACACACACAGCACAUGGCUCUCCAAGUGCUGAGCUGACCUAGCAUCUCCAAAGCAGCCCACCCAUUGCUCCUGGCACAGACCCUGGCUGCUCCUACCCCAGUGUCCAUCGAUCCUUCAGAGAGCUGAGCCUGCAGCAAAUGUGUCGUGUUCCCCCCCACCCCCC